RNAcentral lists this non-coding RNA (237 nucleotides) under Galbibacter marinus. The record is from RNAcentral. Lineage: Bacteria; Pseudomonadati; Bacteroidota; Flavobacteriia; Flavobacteriales; Flavobacteriaceae.
CAUUUGCCAUGAAUUUAUGGUUCCUAAUUUUGAGAAUUCAAAUAGGAUGAAAAGGGAAUACGGUGUAAAUCCGUAGCUGUUCCCGCAACUGUAAGCUUUAAGUAGUCAAACGAGUAACUACUAAUUUAAUGUUUUGGUGUCUUAUUUAUGCCACUGUUCAAUUUCUAUAGGAUUUGGAUGGGAAGGCUAAUCAAAACAAAAGCAAGCCAGGAGACCUGCCUAAAUUCACAAAUACAU